RNAcentral lists this ribosomal RNA (427 nucleotides) under uncultured bacterium. Its description in RNAcentral is "partial 16S ribosomal RNA". It matches the Rfam family "Bacterial small subunit ribosomal RNA", at positions 355 to 774 of the family's 1533-position model. The record is from RNAcentral.
UGGGGAAUAUUGGACAAUGGGCGAAAGCCUGAUCCAGCCAUGCCGCGUGUGUGAAGAAGGUCUUCGGAUUGUAAAGCACUUUAAGUUGGGAGGAAGGGCAUUAACCUAAUACGUUAGUGUUUUGACGUUACCGACAGAAUAAGCACCGGCUAACUCUGUGCCAGCAGCCGCGGUAAUACAGAGGGUGCAAGCGUUAAUCGGAAUUACUGGGCGUAAAGCGCGCGUAGGUGGUUUGUUAAGUUGGAUGUGAAAUCCCCGGGCUCAAGCUGGGAACUGCAUUCAAAACUGACUGACUAGAGUAUGGUAGAGGGUGGAGGAAUUUCCUGUUUAGCGGUGAAAUGCGUAGAUAUAGGAAGGUACACCAGUGGCGAAGGCGACCACCUGGACUAAUACUGACACUGAGGUGCGAAAGCGUGGGGAGCAAACA